RNAcentral lists this ribosomal RNA (1351 nucleotides) under uncultured bacterium. Its description in RNAcentral is "bacterial SSU rRNA". It matches the Rfam family "Bacterial small subunit ribosomal RNA", at positions 28 to 1381 of the family's 1533-position model. The record is from RNAcentral.
GACGAACGCUGGCGGCGCGCCUAACACAUGCAAGUCGAACGGAGCUUGCUCAGUAGAUUCUUUCGGGAUGACGCAGGGUAAGCUUAGUGGCGAACGGGUGAGUAACACGUGAGGAACCUGCCCUAGAGUGGGGGACAACAGUCGGAAACGACUGCUAAUACCGCAUAAGCCCACGGAGCCGCAUGGCUCAGGGGGAAAAGGAUUUAUUCGCUUUAGGAUGGACUCGCGUCUGAUUAGAUAGUUGGUGAGGUAACGGCCCACCAAGUCGACGAUCAGUAGCCGGACUGAGAGGUUGAUCGGCCACAUUGGGACUGAGACACGGCCCAGACUCCUACGGGAGGCAGCAGUGGGGAAUAUUGCACAAUGGGGGAAACCCUGAUGCAGCGACGCCGCGUGGAGGAAGAAGGUCUUCGGAUUGUAAACUCCUGUUCUUAGGGACGAUAAUGACGGUACCUAAGAAGAAAGCCACGGCUAACUACGUGCCAGCAGCCGCGGUAAAACGUAGGUGGCAAGCGUUGUCCGGAAUUACUGGGUGUAAAGGGAGCGCAGGCGGGAUGGCAAGUUGGAAGUGAAAACUAUGGGCUCAACCCAUAGAUUGCUUUCAAAACUGCUAUUCUUGAGUGGUGCAGAGGUAGGCGGAAUUCCCGGUGUAGCGGUGGAAUGCGUAGAUAUCGGGAGGAACACCAGUGGCGAAGGCGGCCUACUGGGCACUAACUGACGCUGAGGCUCGAAAGCAUGGGUAGCAAACAGGAUUAGAUACCCUGGUAGUCCAUGCCGUAAACGAUGAUUACUAGGUGUGGGGAGAUUGACCCUCUCCGUGCCGCAGUUAACACAAUAAGUAAUCCACCUGGGGAGUACGACCGCAAGGUUGAAACUCAAAGGAAUUGACGGGGGCCCGCACAAGCAGUGGAGUAUGGUGGUUUAAUUCGAAGCAACGCGAAGAACCUUACCAGGUCUUUGACAUCCGAUGCAUAGUCUAGAGAUAGAUGAAGUCCUUCGGGACAUCGAGACAGGUGGUGCAUGGUUGUCGUCAGCUCGUGUCGUGAGAUGUUGGGUUAAGUCCCGCAACGAGCGCAACCCCUAUUGUUAGUUACUACGAAAGAGGACUCUAGCAAGACUGCCGUUGACAAAACGGAGGAAGGUGGGGAUGACGUCAAAUCAUCAUGCCCUUUAUGACCUGGGCUACACACGUACUACAAUGGCGCUUAACAAAGAGAAGCAAGAUCGCGAGAUGGAGCAAACCUCAUAAACAGCGUCUCAGUUCAGAUUGCAGGCUGCAACUCGCCUGCAUGAAGUCGGAAUUGCUAGUAAUCGUGGAUCAGCAUGCCACGGUGAAUACGUUCCCGGGCCU